AGCCAGUGAGGAAUAUUGGUCAAUAGCCUAACGGCUGAACCAGCAACUUGGAGGAAUGUAUGGCGAAAGCUGGUUGCAUCUAAAAAGGUGCAAGAUUGAUUCUAUUGAAUAAAGUUCUAGAUAGGUUAUGAUGAUGACAUUUCCUGUCUAUGUGUCUUGACUAAAUUACGUGCCAGCAGUCGCGGUAAUACGUAGAAGACUAGUGUUAUUCAUCUUUAAUAGGUUUAAAGGGUACCUAGACGGUAAAUCAAGUCCAAAAAGGGUACUAAUUUGCUAGAGUUUAAUGUGAGGGGGCACUAAAGUACUGAUAAGUGUAGAGAUGAAAUUCUGUGAUACAAUAUAAGGACAGGUAAAGGCGAAAGCAUCUCAUUAUGUAAUAACUGACGUUGAGGGACGAAGGCUAGGAGAAGCAAAAAGGAUUAGAUACCCAAGUAGUCUUAGCAGAAAAUUAUGAAUGUCAUAGGAUGGAGAUAGUGGAUAACAAUUUUUUUUCUAUAAAUGAAAGUGUAAGCAUUCCACCUCGAGAGUAAUUUGGCAACAUUGGAACUGAAAUCAUUAGACCGUUUCUGAAACAAGUAGUGAAGUAUGUUGUUUAAUUUGAUGGUCCGCAAAAAACCUUACCACAAUUUGAAUAGGAGUUUUUAUUUUAUACAAGCGCUGCACGGUUGUCUCCAGUUAAUGUCGUGAGAUCUUGGUUAGUUCCAUUAAAUUAACGUAAACCCUUACUUUAUUUAUAUAUAGAGUAGUUCACCGCUAGAUUGGAUGUGAUAACAGGGACUAAGACAAGUCAUCAUGGCCUUAAUAUUGUGGGCUAUAGACGUGC
Molecule: ribosomal RNA, 823 nt
Filed under: Physcia aipolia
Lineage: Eukaryota; Fungi; Ascomycota; Lecanoromycetes; Caliciales; Physciaceae
Description: SSU rRNA
Rfam family: Bacterial small subunit ribosomal RNA
Source: RNAcentral